AGAGUUUGAUCCUGGCUCAGGAUGAACGCUAGCGGGAGGCUUAACACAUGCAAGUCGAGGGGCAGCAUUACUUUCGGGUAGAUGGCGACCGGCGGACGGGUGCGUAACGCGUAUGCAACCUACCUUAUGCAAGGGGAUAGCCCAUGGAAACGUGGAUUAAGACCCUAUAUUCUAUAGAUAUUGCAUAAUAUUUAUAGGAAAACUCCGGUGGCAUAAGAUGGGCAUGCGUCUGAUUAGCUAGAUGGUAAGGUAACGGCUUACCAUGGCGACGAUCAGUAGGGGUCCUGAGAGGGUUACCCCCCACACUGGUACUGAGACACGGACCAGACUCCUACGGGAGGCAGCAGUGAGGAAUAUUGGGCAAUGGAGGCAACUCUGACCCAGCCAUCCCGCGUGCAGGAUGACGGCCCUAUGGGUUGUAAACUGCUUUUCUACGCCAAGAAACCUAUUUACGAGUAAAUAGCUGACGGUAGCGUAGGAAUAAGCACCGGCUAACUCCGUGCCAGCAGCCGCGGUAAUACGGAGGGUGCAAGCGUUAUCCGGAUUUAUUGGGUUUAAAGGGUGCGCAGGCGGAAAAAUAAGUCAGUGGUGAAAUACUGCCGCUCAACGGUAGGGCUGCCAUUGAUACUGUUUUUCUUGAGUAUGGUUGAGGUAAGCGAAUGUGCGGUGUAGCGGUGAAAUGCAUAGAUAUCGCACAGAACGCCGAUUGCGAAGGCAGCUUACUAAACCAUUACUGACGCUGAGGCACGAAAGCGUGGGUAGCGAACAGGAUUAGAUACCCUGGUAGUCCACGCCGUAAACGAUGUUCACUCGCUGUUUGCGAUACACAGCAAGCGGCUGGGCGAAAGCAUUAAGUGAACCACCUGGGGAGUACGACCGCAAGGUUGAAACUCAAAGGAAUUGACGGGGGCCCGCACAAGCGGUGGAACAUGUGGUUUAAUUCGAUGAUACGCGAGGAACCUUACCUGGGCUUAAAUGCAUUUUGUAUGAAGUGGAAACACUUCUUCCCUUCGGGGCUAUUUGCAAGGUGCUGCAUGGUUGUCGUCAGCUCGUGCUGUGAGGUGUCGGGUUAAGUCCCAUAACGAGCGCAACCCUUACCGUUAGUUGCCAUCGGGUCAAGCCGGGGACUCUAGCGGGACUGCCACCGUAAGGUGAGAGGAAGGUGGGGAUGACGUCAAAUCAGCACGGCCCUUAUGCCCAGGGCUACACACGUGUUACAAUGGCCGGUACAAAGGGCAGCUACUGCGCAAGCAGGUGCGAAUCCUAAAAGCCGGUCCCAGUUCGGAUUGGGGUCUGCAACCCGACCCCAUGAAGUUGGAAUCGCUAGUAAUCGGAUAUCAGCAACGAUCCGGUGAAUACGUU
This 1362-nucleotide ribosomal RNA is filed under the name metagenome. RNAcentral describes it as "bacterial SSU rRNA". It matches the Rfam family "Bacterial small subunit ribosomal RNA", at positions 8 to 1372 of the family's 1533-position model. The record is from RNAcentral.